RNAcentral lists this ribosomal RNA (492 nucleotides) under uncultured bacterium. RNAcentral describes it as "bacterial SSU rRNA". It matches the Rfam family "Bacterial small subunit ribosomal RNA", at positions 28 to 517 of the family's 1533-position model. The record is from RNAcentral.
GACGAACGCUGGCGGCGUGCCUAACACAUGCAAGUCGAACGGAACUUCUUUAAAGGAUUUCUUCGGAAUGAAUUUGAUUAAGUUUAGUGGCGGACGGGUGAGUAACGCGUGAGUAACCUGCCUCUAAGAGGGGAAUAACAUUCUGAAAAGAAUGCUAAUACCGCAUAACAUAUAUUUAUCGCAUGGUAGAUAUAUCAAAGAUUUAUCGCUUAGAGAUGGACUCGCGUCCGAUUAGUUAGUUGGUGAGGUAACGGCCCACCAAGGCGACGAUCAGUAGCCGGCCUGAGAGGGUGAACGGCCACAUUGGGACUGAGACACGGCCCAAAACUCCUACGGGAGGCAGCAGUGGGGAAUAUUGCACAAUGGGGGAAACCCUGAUGCAGCGACGCCGCGUGAGUGAUGAAGUAUUUCGGUAUGUAGAACUCUAUCAGCAGGGAAGAUAAUGACGGUACCUGACUAAGAAGCACCGGCUAAAAUACGUGCCAGCAGCCG